UACGUAGGAUGCGAGCGUUGUCCGGAAUUAUUGGGCGUAAAGAGAACGUAGGCGGUUUGUUAAGUUUGGGCUUAAAGACUGGGGCUCAACCCCAGGAGUGGCUCGAAAACUGACAGACUAGAGGAUGGCAGAGGAAAGUGGAAUUCCCAGUGUAGCGGUGAAAUGCGUAGAUAUUGGGAGGAACACCAGUGGCGAAAGCGACUUUCUGGGCCAUUCCUGACGCUGAGGUUCGAAAGCUCGAGGAGCAAACAGG
This 253-nucleotide ribosomal RNA is filed under the name uncultured bacterium. RNAcentral's name for it is "partial 16S ribosomal RNA". It matches the Rfam family "Bacterial small subunit ribosomal RNA", at positions 524 to 776 of the family's 1533-position model. The record is from RNAcentral.